AUCCCCCCACGCCCCCCCCCCCUCCAAACAUUUCAGAGAGUGUUCCAAACGUCCUUUUGUAUUGAACAUUUUAUCGGAAGUCAGACGGUGACUCGGUUUAACAUCACAGCAGUUGUUGAAACAAUCAGUGCGCUUCUGCUUGGAGCGCAGUGCCACCUGCUGGUGAGGCACGGGAAACCAAAGAGGACGUUUCAUGUUCAAUUCUUUGUUUUUGUUCAGCUUGGUGUCAUCUCGAGUGCUUGGGAGAAAGAAAUGGGUGUCACCUUGAAACGUUCCGCUUUGUGCACAGGGAAAAUAGAAACCUCGCUACAUGUUUUAUAUGCGUGUUUAUGAGCAAGACAGAGUUCAAGGGGGACGAAAAUGUGAUCAUGGCCACUUUUUUGCUUUUUAAAACGUGACUGUUUUGGAGAAAAUACUCACGCAUGUCAAAAGAGCACAAUACGUGCAGUGAAGUUUCAAAAACCUUUCAGAUCAUAAUCCUUUUUACUCUAUUUUCUUCACUUCUUAUAUUUAAUAAAUUAUUAGCCUUUUUUUAUAUUUUUGAACACAUAUACAAUGCAGGUGCCUGUUCACCAAUUUUAAUGUGGUAGAAAGCGAUUUUUUUUAGACAAAAUGAACUUUU
Molecule: long non-coding RNA, 622 nt
Organism: Hippocampus comes (tiger tail seahorse)
Lineage: Eukaryota; Metazoa; Chordata; Actinopteri; Syngnathiformes; Syngnathidae
Exons: 2
Source: RefSeq, a predicted model, not a curated record